AUCUUUGCUCUUAGGGAAAUGACACAACUUGUGAGGUUCUAACCGAGGUGUGUCUAUUGCUGGUUGAGAACUAAUUCUAAAAAGAAAAGAAUUAGCAAUUAUUGUUUCUUGAAUCUCGUCAAUAUUUGCCUAUAGAAUCAUUGUUUUUCAUCUAGGA
Small nuclear RNA from Cucurbita maxima (winter squash), 157 nucleotides. RefSeq annotates it as U4 spliceosomal RNA. The transcript has a single exon. Lineage: Eukaryota; Viridiplantae; Streptophyta; Magnoliopsida; Cucurbitales; Cucurbitaceae. The record is from RefSeq and is a predicted model, not a curated record.